GAGGAUCAUGAUGAAAACCACCCCGGGGCUUUUCACAAGCUGCACUGGAGUCGACGGUGGAGAAGUUACAGACACGCAGUGUGUGUGUCACCUGCGGGCCGCUAAUUAGAGCGCCGCUGACAGCCCAGAGAUGGGGAGCUGGAGAGGCUGGGCGCGGGAGAGAGCCCAGGUGGGCUCCUGUGAGUUUAGGCCUGAGUGCUGCAGCGGAGCCAGCAAGAGCUCGGAAUCACCCAGCUUUGUGGAUCUGCCCUCCCCUUUGCCGUCCUCAGUCCAGCUCAGCCCUCGCCUCCUGGAGGAACCCAGCCCAGCUCGUC
Molecule: long non-coding RNA, 314 nt
Filed under: Homo sapiens (human)
Lineage: Eukaryota; Metazoa; Chordata; Mammalia; Primates; Hominidae
Description: HSALNT0145090
Source: RNAcentral